This 901-nucleotide ribosomal RNA is filed under the name Streptomyces speibonae. RNAcentral's name for it is "bacterial SSU rRNA". It matches the Rfam family "Bacterial small subunit ribosomal RNA", at positions 10 to 920 of the family's 1533-position model. Lineage: Bacteria; Bacillati; Actinomycetota; Actinomycetes; Kitasatosporales; Streptomycetaceae. The record is from RNAcentral.
AGUUUGAAUCAUGGCUCAGGACGAACGCUGGCGGCGUGCUUAACACAUGCAAGUCGAACGAUGAACCACCUUCGGGUGGGGAUUAGUGGCGAACGGGUGAGUAACACGUGGGCAAUCUGCCCUGCACUCUGGGACAAGCCCUGGAAACGGGGUCUAAUACCGGAUACUGAACCGCUUGGGCAUCCAGGCGGUUCGAAAGCUCCGGCGGUGCAGGAUGAGCCCGCGGCCUAUCAGCUUGUUGGUGAGGUAACGGCUCACCAAGGCGACGACGGGUAGCCGGCCUGAGAGGGCGACCGGCCACACUGGGACUGAGACACGGCCCAGACUCCUACGGGAGGCAGCAGUGGGGAAUAUUGCACAAUGGGCGAAAGCCUGAUGCAGCGACGCCGCGUGAGGGAUGACGGCCUUCGGGUUGUAAACCUCUUUCAGCAGGGAAGAAGCGAAAGUGACGGUACCUGCAGAAGAAGCGCCGGCUAACUACGUGCCAGCAGCCGCGGUAAUACGUAGGGCGCGAGCGUUGUCCGGAAUUAUUGGGCGUAAAGAGCUCGUAGGCGGCUUGUCGCGUCGGUUGUGAAAGCCCGGGGCUUAACCCCGGGUCUGCAGUCGAUACGGGCAGGCUAGAGUUCGGUAGGGGAGAUCGGAAUUCCUGGUGUAGCGGUGAAAUGCGCAGAUAUCAGGAGGAACACCGGUGGCGAAGGCGGAUCUCUGGGCCGAUACUGACGCUGAGGAGCGAAAGCGUGGGGAGCGAACAGGAUUAGAUACCCUGGUAGUCCACGCCGUAAACGGUGGGCACUAGGUGUGGGCGACAUUCCACGUCGUCCGUGCCGCAGCUAACGCAUUAAGUGCCCCGCCUGGGGAGUACGGCCCGCAAGGCUAAAACUCAAAUGAAUUUGACGGGGAA